GUCGAGAAUCUUUCACAAUGGGGGCAACCCUGAUGGAGCGACGCCGCGUGGAGGAUAAGGUCUUCGGAUUGUAAACUCCUGUCAUGCGUGAACAAGGUUGCUUGGUUAAUACCUGGGCAAAUUGAUGGUAACGCAAGAGGAAGAGACGGCUAACUCUGUGCCAGCAGCCGCGGUAAUACAGAGGUCUCAAGCGUUGUUCGGAAUCACUGGGCGUAAAGGGUGCGUAGGUGGCGUGGUAAGUCAGAUGUGAAAGCCCGGGGCUCAACCUCGGAACUGCAUCCGAUACUGCCAUGCUAGAGUACUGGAGAGGUGACUAGAAUUCUCGGUGUAGCAGUGAAAUGCGUAGAUAUCGAGAGGAAUACCAAAGGCGUAGGCAGGUCACUGGACAGUUACUGACACUGAGGCACGAAGGCCAGGGGAGCGAACGGGAUUAGAUACCCCGGUAGUCC
This 449-nucleotide ribosomal RNA is filed under the name uncultured bacterium. Its description in RNAcentral is "partial 16S ribosomal RNA". It matches the Rfam family "Bacterial small subunit ribosomal RNA", at positions 354 to 796 of the family's 1533-position model. The record is from RNAcentral.